This is a non-coding RNA of Peromyscus maniculatus bairdii (prairie deer mouse), 654 nucleotides long. Lineage: Eukaryota; Metazoa; Chordata; Mammalia; Rodentia; Cricetidae. The record is from RefSeq and is a predicted model, not a curated record.
CAGGAAGUACCUCCCUCUCUCUCGGGGAAGCUAGGAGCACUGCAGGAGAGUCCUGGUGAUUUCCAACAUGUUAGUCAACUGUCCAAGAAGAACAUUCUGAGUGACUUCCUUCCUCAAAACAUAUUUAUUUGUUUGUUUCUGUGCAUCUAAGUAUAUGUGUGGGUGUACCUGGACAGCGCAUGUGUGGAGUUGGAGGACCCUUUUUCAGAGGUUAGUUCUCGCCUUCCUCUGUGUGGAUUGCGUGGAUGGAACUCAGGUGUUUAUGACAACAAUGGAAAGCGGACUAAUAUAGUUAACAAGUAUACCAGGAGUGACCAGAUGGAUGUGAGACCAGCGAAUUAUUAUAAAUUAGAGACCCCUGACGUUAAUGAAUCGGAGGAUUCACUGCCAAUAGUUCCUUAGAUCUUGGAGCCGGACCUCAUCCUGUAUCACAUCCUAUUCUCUGUUUCUGCCUGCGAUGUAAGACCCUGUUUGCAGUCUGCUUUACAGUCAGAUCCUUCUGCCUUUCCGUGUAUUCUUUCCCAUUGUGGCCUCUUUUCUACCCUCCCCCCAUCUUGACUACGUGUCCCUCAACACCUUGAAUAGUCACAUUUGCCUUUCUCUUCCUUGUCUUCCUUUGUCAACAUCACCACAACAAAUCAACUGCAAAAUCUC